This 446-nucleotide ribosomal RNA is filed under the name Escherichia coli. RNAcentral describes it as "bacterial SSU rRNA". It matches the Rfam family "Bacterial small subunit ribosomal RNA", at positions 1 to 441 of the family's 1533-position model. Lineage: Bacteria; Pseudomonadati; Pseudomonadota; Gammaproteobacteria; Enterobacterales; Enterobacteriaceae. The record is from RNAcentral.
UUAAAUUGAAGAGUUUGAUCAUGGCUCAGAUUGAACGCUGGCGGCAGGCCUAACACAUGCAAGUCGAACGGUAACAGAAAGCAGCUUGCUGCUUUGCUGACGAGUGGCGGACGGGGGAGUAAUGUCUGGGAAACUGCCUGAUGGAGGGGGAUAACUACUGGAAACGGUAGCUAAUACCGCAUAACGUCGCAAGACCAAAGAGGGGGACCUUCGGGCCUCUUGCCAUCGGAUGUGCCCAGAUGGGAUUAGCUUGUUGGUGGGGUAACGGCUCACCAAGGCGACGAUCCCUAGCUGGUCUGAGAGGAUGACCAGCCACACUGGAACUGAGACACGGUCCAGACUCCUACGGGAGGCAGCAGUGGGGAAUAUUGCACAAUGGGCGCAAGCCUGAUGCAGCCAUGCCGCGUGUAUGAAGAAGGCCUUCGGGUUGUAAAGUACUUUCAGCG